RNAcentral lists this ribosomal RNA (497 nucleotides) under uncultured bacterium. RNAcentral describes it as "partial 16S ribosomal RNA". It matches the Rfam family "Bacterial small subunit ribosomal RNA", at positions 28 to 507 of the family's 1533-position model. The record is from RNAcentral.
GAUGAACGCUGGCGGCGUGCCUAAUACAUGCAAGUCGAGCGAACAGACGAGGAGCUUGCUCCUCUGACGUUAGCGGCGGACGGGUGAGUAACACGUGGAUAACCUACCUAUAAGACUGGGAUAACUUCGGGAAACCGGAGCUAAUACCGGAUAAUAUAUUGAACCGCAUGGUUCAAUAGUGAAAGACGGUUUUGCUGUCACUUAUAGAUGGAUCCGCGCCGCAUUAGCUAGUUGGUAAGGUAACGGCUUACCAAGGCAACGAUGCGUAGCCGACCUGAGAGGGUGAUCGGCCACACCGGAACUGAGACACGGUCCAGACUCCUACGGGAGGCAGCAGUAGGGAAUCUUCCGCAAUGGGCGAAAGCCUGACGGAGCAACGCCGCGUGAGUAAUGAAGGUCUUCGGAUCGUAAAACUCUGUUAUUAGGGAAGAACAAAUGUGUAAGUAACUAUGCACGUCUUGACGGUACCUAAUCAGAAAGCCACGGCUAACUACGUG